UAAUACGGAGGGUGCGAGCGUUAAUCGGAAUCACUGGGCGUAAAGCGCUCGUAGGCUGUUUGUUAAGUCAGAGGUGAAAUCCCACGGCUCAACCGUGGAACUGCCUUUGAUACUGGCAGACUAGAAUCCGGGAGAGGGUGGUGGAAUUCCAGGUGUAGGAGUGAAAUCCGUAGAUAUCUGGAGGAACAUCAGUGGCGAAGGCGACCACCUGGACCGGUAUUGACGCUGAGGAGCGAAAGCGUGGGGAGCAAACAGG
RNAcentral lists this ribosomal RNA (256 nucleotides) under uncultured bacterium. RNAcentral's name for it is "partial 16S ribosomal RNA". It matches the Rfam family "Bacterial small subunit ribosomal RNA", at positions 521 to 776 of the family's 1533-position model. The record is from RNAcentral.